Molecule: non-coding RNA, 2406 nt
Organism: Phasianus colchicus (ring-necked pheasant)
Lineage: Eukaryota; Metazoa; Chordata; Aves; Galliformes; Phasianidae
Source: RefSeq, a predicted model, not a curated record
CCCGCGGUGACGGCGGAGCGGUGGGCGCUGCUCGAGCUGCUCCAUCCCAGGGCUGCGCUGCGAGAAACGCGCCCGUGCGGGGCUGCGGGGCUGCGUGUGCCGCUGCUGCAGCCCGUGGCUGCUGAAUGUGCUGGGACUGAAGUUACGGCCUGUUAUCCGUGCGGCUCAGAGGACUCUGGAAGUCCCUCCGUGUGGCAGCCCGCAGGACAGAGAAGCACAGUGCAGGUGAGCCCACAUCCAUGAGCUCAGUGCUGUGUCAGCCCGGAGCUGCUCCCAGAGGCGUGCGCCAUCGCUGUGCCCAGCAUUCCUUGGUCCCCAGGACAUUGAGCUGCAUUAUUUCCUGGUAAAUGGACACUUUCCCCAGAGACAAUCAUUCUAACCCAGUUCCAGCAGCUUUCCAAUUACUUUUCAUCACACUAGUUUUUUUCUCCUAAAAUUUUUUCUCUGAACAUGGAGGCCGUUUGGUGGCUGUGGGAAGAAUCCUUUUUCUUUUUGUUCUCACUGGAGGGCUUUCCUGGUCCAUCUCCACUAAGAACACUGCAGAGAAUUGGUAAAAAGUAAACGGCAUUUGCUUGGACAGCAAGGAGUGGUACUCCCAUCCUGAGCCUUGGAAAUUCGCUGAUUAAUGGCACUCUGUAACAGGAGGCUUUAACAUCUUGGUGUAGGAAAACACAUAUACAAACUUCACAUAAAUGACAAGCGUCACCUUAAUUGCUGAAACAAAAUUAUAUAAGAAUAUCACUUCAGAGCAGGUAUAAUAUUUAAAAGGUGUCAAUUUUCUCUCACAUCUGCUUUUUAAGGUAUUUUCUAGAGAAUGAAGGAUGCUUUUCCUCUGGUCCUUACACCAGAAUAUUUUCUGAAACCCGUUAUGUGGGUAAAGGCUGCAACGCUUUGCGAUUUCAGAGUCUGAUAUACUUUCAUUUAGUAAAGCAGCCUCGUUGCAUAAAGGUGAUGGUACUGGUAUGGGAACUGCUGAGUCACAGCCUGAACUGAUGAAGCACCUGGGGAAAGGACCUGCUCUGCCCUGGGAGCACAGGUGGAGGCAAUUCAGCUGUAUGACCGGAGGGGGUGUAGCCUGGUUCCUCUUUCAGCUCACUUAAGGGCUGACUGCCACCGAGGAUGGUUCUUGUCCUGGAGAUCCCUCUUUUGUGGAGCUUUUCUACAAGCCCAGUUCUUCGGAGACGGAAAUAUUUCUCAGGUUGUCACACAGGCGCCCGCGCUGCUGUUGGGGCUGAGUCCUUCAGACAGCUGUGCCGUGCCGUUUGCUCUGCGCGCUGCAGGUGGGGAGGGACCCACGGGGCCGAGCCGUGUCUGUGUCACACCUGGGCUGUGGCUCUGCCCCUGCCCUGCCAGCUGUGUGCUCACAUCCUGCCGAGCACCCACUGCCCAAACCGCGCUGAGCCCACCGCCGCCUGCUGCGCUGCACCAGAUGCCGAGUGGUCUGACUGGAGUUUGCUCGCACCUCCUGCAGCCGUGGUGUACACAGCUUCUGAAAAGGCAUUUUCUGCAGGCACUUUGUGGUGUUGGCUGUGGCCUCCAGUGAGAACGGUGUGCUUUGGGCGCUCAGCGCCUUUCCCUGCUCCUCCACCUGCUGACAGCACCACGUGUGAAUCCUCUGUGCCGCGUCGGUGUUCAUUAGCAAAUAACUCCAGGGUUGUCUAAAUGAGAAAGGCAAUUAGGCGGAUCUGUGGAAGACAAAGCACGUAUUGAUGAAUGUAAUGAUGACAUGUGUGGAAUAAUUUUGGACUCAAAGUAAAAAUCAAAAGAAAAAAGAAAGCAGGUGUCUUCCAAUUAGGGCAUAAAUCAACAAUUACGAGCUCUCUGACUGCUGUCGAAAUGCACUCUGCGUAGCGCUCCAAAGGAAGGAAGCCACCAAUAUUUUAUAUAAUUAAAGGAAAUUAUGUAUCCAAUACCUUUUAAUAUGAUUAACAGCUGUAGGGAGAAGCUGUCUAAGUGCAGCAGUUAAGGGGAAUAUUAGUGUGCCGUUUACACAGAGCUAAACAAGCAGGGCUGUGUGCCCGGCUGAGGGCUGGGAGCGUCUGCAUGGGGGUGAGAGCAAACCUGUGUUUGGGUAACAGAUGGGAGGUGCGAGGCUGCGGGCACUGCGGCAGUGUCCGUCUGUUUGUUGUUCCCUGGGGUCAGCUGAGCUGUUCCCUGAGCUCAAGCAGGCCCUCAGCACAGCACAAAGAUGCCAGGCUGCACAAGAGGGAUGUUAUUCUGUGAUUAAAAAUAAAAUAGAUACACUCCUAAAUACAUCAUGCAAAAGAGAGAAAUUAACAUGGGGCUGAGCUUUUUACGAGUUUGCAGCUCAGUCAUCUGCACUCAUUUUGGAAGCAGUGGAACAGAAUGGGCUGUGCAGGGCAGCACUGGUGAGCUGCAACCUGAGGUCCCAGGAGCAGGGAGAGG